RNAcentral lists this ribosomal RNA (91 nucleotides) under Hucho hucho (huchen). The record is from RNAcentral. Lineage: Eukaryota; Metazoa; Chordata; Actinopteri; Salmoniformes; Salmonidae.
GCCAGCAGCAUACCACCCUGCAUCCCACUGCUGGCUUGCUUCUGAAGCUAAGCAGGGUUGGUCCUGGAUGGGAGACCAGAUGCUGCUGGAG